RNAcentral lists this ribosomal RNA (329 nucleotides) under uncultured eukaryote. RNAcentral's name for it is "partial 18S ribosomal RNA". It matches the Rfam family "Eukaryotic small subunit ribosomal RNA", at positions 1470 to 1796 of the family's 1831-position model. The record is from RNAcentral.
CCCUUAGAUGUUCUGGGCCGCACGCGCGCUACACUGACGAUGGCAACGAGUUUUUCCUUCGCCGAAAGGUGUGGGUAAUCUUUUGAAACAUCGUCGUGCUGGGGAUAGAUCAUUGCAAUUUUUGAUCUUGAACGAGGAAUUCCUAGUAAGCGCGAGUCAUCAGCUCGCGUUGAUUACGUCCCUGCCCUUUGUACACACCGCCCGUCGCUACUACCGAUUGAAGGGUUUAGUGAGGACUCCUGAUUGGCGCCGCCGCCCCGGCAACGGAGCAGCGGACUGCCGAAAAGUUGUUCAAACUUGAUCAUUUAGAGGAAGUAAAAGUCGUAACA